UAGGGAAUCUUCGGCAAUGGACGAAAGUCUGACCGAGCAACGCCGCGUGAGUGAAGAAGGUUUUCGGAUCGUAAAACUCUGUUGUUAGAGAAGAACAAGGACGUUAGUAACUGAACGUCCCCUGACGGUAUCUAACCAGAAAGCCACGGCUAACUACGUGCCAGCAGCCGCGGUAAUACGUAGGUGGCAAGCGUUGUCCAGAUUUAUUGGGCGUAAAGCGAGCGCAGGCGGUUUCUUAAGUCUGAUGUGAAAGCCCCCGGCUCAACCGGGGAGGGUCAUGGGAAACUGGGAGACUUGAGUGCAGAAGAGGAGAGUGGAAUUCCAUGUGUAGCGGUGAAAUGCGUAGAUAUAUGGAGGAACACCAGUGGCGAAGGCGGCUCUCUGGUCUGUAACUGACGCUGAGGCUCGAAAGCGUGGGGAGCAAACAGG
Molecule: ribosomal RNA, 429 nt
Filed under: Gemmatimonadota bacterium
Lineage: Bacteria; Pseudomonadati; Gemmatimonadota
Description: Gemmatimonadetes bacterium partial 16S ribosomal RNA
Rfam family: Bacterial small subunit ribosomal RNA
Source: RNAcentral